This 460-nucleotide ribosomal RNA is filed under the name uncultured bacterium. RNAcentral describes it as "partial 16S ribosomal RNA". It matches the Rfam family "Bacterial small subunit ribosomal RNA", at positions 338 to 795 of the family's 1533-position model. The record is from RNAcentral.
CCUACGGGGAGCAGCAGUGAGGAAUAUUGGUCAAUGGACGCAAGUCUGAACCAGCCAUGCCGCGUGCAGGAAGACGGCUCUAUGAGUUGUAAACUGCUUUUGUACGAGGGUAAACGCAGAUACGCGUAUCUGUCUGAAAGUAUCGUACGAAUAAGGAUCGGCUAACUCCGUGCCAGCAGCCGCGGUAAUACGGAGGAUUCAAGCGUUAUCCGGAUUUAUUGGGUUUAAAGGGUGCGUAGGCGGUCGGAUAAGUUAGAGGUGAAAUCCCGAGGCUCAACUUCGGAAUUGCCUCUGAUACGGUGCGGCUAGAGAGUAGUGGCGGUAGGCGGAAUGUAUGGUGUAGCGGUGAAAUGCUUAGAGAGCAUACAGAACACCGAUUGCGAAGGCAGCUUACCAGGCUACUGCUGACGUUGAGGCACGAAAGCGUGGGGAGCAAACAGGAUUAGAUACCCGAGUAGUG